This 253-nucleotide ribosomal RNA is filed under the name uncultured bacterium. RNAcentral describes it as "partial 16S ribosomal RNA". It matches the Rfam family "Bacterial small subunit ribosomal RNA", at positions 524 to 776 of the family's 1533-position model. The record is from RNAcentral.
UACGGGGGGGGCAAGCGUUGUUCGGAAUUACUGGGCGUAAAGGGCUCGUAGGCGGCCAACUAAGUCAGACGUGAAAUCCCUCGGCUUAACCGGGGAACUGCAUCUGAUACUGGAUGGCUUGAGAUUGGGAGAGGGAUGCGGAAUUCCAGGUGUAGCGGUGAAAUGCGUAGAUAUCUGGAGGAACACCGGUGGCGAAGGCGGCAUCCUGGACCAACACUGAUGCUGAGGAGCGAAAGCCAGGGGAGCAAACGGG